GCAUUUGAGCGAUCACUCAAAAUAUUGCUCUGUCUUGGAAGACAAAGUUAGUGGGAUUUACAGAGUAGCUUAUUGGUGCAGGCAAGAAACCAAAUUAGAUUUAGAUCAAGUUAGACUUGGCUAGGCUGAAGUAGCUAGGCAAGGUUAGAUUAGGCUUGGGUAGGGGUAGAGUAGGCUAAGUUAGGUUAGGAUAGGCUGGGCUAGGCUGAGCCAGGUGAAAGUAGGGUGGGCUCGGCUGUGUGAGGAGCAUAGCUGGCAGUGUGGAGACAUUUGAGGUUAGAAACUCCCUUCUCGGAAGUGCAGUACUGUUCCUGCUUAGUGCUACAAAAGAGUGACGUUGUGGGUGGGGGAAGAGCAAAGAGGAGGGGUGAUAUCCCAGCAAACAGCUGCUGCAGCUGUGAAGAGAAAAAAGGAGGAAGAUCAGGAGCAGUUGCAGCAGUGUGACCCCUGCAACAGAUUUAUUCGCAUCUGCCAAAGUCAUCUCUUUGGUCUUUUUUUGGUACCUUUUGUGUAAAUAUUAACACAGUGGGAUGAAACCCCAUUUUGAGAUCAGGAGCACUCCUUCACUCAAAGAACAUCAACACAUGAGAGAUUGGUCUUCCAGCUUUCCUGUGAAGACCUACCUCUUUGUGUAUGACCUGAUGCAAUUCUGUGGGCAUUCCUGGAUAUUUACAAAUAUGAUCAUCAGGUACAUGUCGUUUGGAAAAGGUAGGAUUCAUUCUGUAUUUCCCUUAAACAUUUUACGAGGCGAUGGUAUAGAGAAACUUAACAAAAUGUAGACAUACAUAGUUCUAUCCAAUACCAUGGGCUGUAAUUUUAAUUAAGAAAAGCAUUGUUUCUUUCCAUUAAAAAGGAUGAAUAAUUUACUUGUAUACUGCAGCAAAAAUUGAGCAUUUUAAUAUUCGGUACUGUGCCAGCAACAUUUGAUUUAGACGCAGACCUACAUGUGAGUAGGUCAAGUCAUUAUGGUGAGUAUCAGUCCUAUUGAAGCCACUCGGAGGGAAGAUCUUUGUAAUUACUGCACACAACUUUGCAUCUCCCAAAACGUUACAGCAUAUUUCUCUUUCAGAUUUAGUUGUCUGAAGUCAGUGUACAAAAAUAGAAAACAAAUGACUGGAAAUUCAAAAUAGUUUAUAGGUGGCAGUUGUGGAUACAUAACGCAUAUAUUUUGUGGUCUAGUUGAUUUAGGAGGUGUCAUGGGUACUGAUACAGGCAGGAACUUCAGCAUCUCCAUAUUUUAUGCUUCUUCAUGUUUAGAAAUAUCCUAAAGGGAUAUCUGUAAACCAACAUGUCUUGUGCAAUGUCUGCCAGUGCAUCAAAUAUGGACACUCCCGUUCUUUUCUCUGUUUCCUGCCUCUGAGUGAGAUCUGCCUGAGGGUAGGGAGGCUUUUCAGAGGAAUCUGGAUAGGCUGGAUCGCUGGGCUAAGACAAAUGGGAUGAGGGUCAACAAGGCCAUGUGCUGGGUCCUGCACUUUGGCUACAACAAACCCAUGCAGUGCUAUAGGCUUGGGACUGAGUGGCUGGAUGAUUGUGAAGAGGAAAGGGACCUGGGGGUGUUGGUCGAUGUUCGGCUGA
Meleagris gallopavo (turkey) is the source of this 1575-nucleotide non-coding RNA. NCBI's taxonomy places the organism in Eukaryota, Metazoa, Chordata, Aves, Galliformes, Phasianidae. The record is from RefSeq and is a predicted model, not a curated record.